Molecule: ribosomal RNA, 617 nt
Filed under: uncultured bacterium
Lineage: Bacteria
Description: bacterial SSU rRNA
Rfam family: Bacterial small subunit ribosomal RNA
Source: RNAcentral
CCUACGGGAGGCAGCAGUGGGGAAUUUUGGACAAUGGGCGAAAGCCUGAUCCAGCAAUGCCGCGUGAGUGAAGAAGGCCUUCGGGUUGUAAAGCUCUUUUGUCAGGGAAGAAACGGUGAGAGCUAAUAUCUCUUGCUAAUGACGGUACCUGAAGAAUAAGCACCGGCUAACUACGUGCCAGCAGCCGCGGUAAUACGUAGGGUGCAAGCGUUAAUCGGAAUUACUGGGCGUAAAGCGUGCGCAGGCGGUUUUGUAAGUCUGAUGUGAAAUCCCCGGGCUCAACCUGGGAAUUGCAUUGGAGACUGCAAGGCUAGAAUCUGGCAGAGGGGGGUAGAAUUCCACGUGUAGCAGUGAAAUGCGUAGAUAUGUGGGGGAACACCGAUGGCGAAGGCAGCCCCCUGGGUCAAGAUUGACGCUCAUGCACGAAAGCGUGGGGAGCAAACAGGAUUAGAUACCCUGGUAGUCCACGCCCUAAACGAUGUCUACUAGUUGUCGGGUCUUAAUUGACUUGGUAACGCAGCUAACGCGUGAAGUAGACCGCCUGGGGAGUACGGUCGCAAGNUUAAAACUCAAAGGAAUUGACGGCUGAGAGNGCGAGGACGACACGAGGGAGGAGG